CUUUGAUCCAGAGAUUUCCGAAUGGGGAAACCCAGCAUGAGUUAUGUCAUGUUAUCGAUAUGUGAAUACAUAGCAUAUCAGAAGGCACACCCGGAGAACUGAAACAUCUUAGUACCCGGAGGAAGAGAAAGAAAAUUCGAUUCCCUUAGUAGCGGCGAGCGAAACGGGAAGAGCCCAAACCAACAAGCUUGCUUGUUGGGGUUGUAGGACACUCUAUACGGAGUUACAAAGGACGACAUUAGACGAAUCAUCUGGAAAGAUGAAUCAAAGAAGGUAAUAAUCCUGUAGUCGAAAAUGUUGUCUCUCUUGAGUGGAUCCUGAGUACGACGGAGCACGUGAAAUUCCGUCGGAAUCUGGGAGGACCAUCUCCUAAGGCUAAAUACUCUCUAGUGACCGAUAGUGAACCAGUACCGUGAGGGAAAGGUGAAAAGCACCCCGGAAGGGGAGUGAAAUAGAACCUGAAACCGUGUGCUUACAAGUAGUCAGAGCCCGUUAAUGGGUGAUGGCGUGCCUUUUGUAGAAUGAACCGGCGAGUUACGAUUUGAUGCAAGGUUAAGCAGUAAAUGUGGAGCCGUAGCGAAAGCGAGUCUGAAUAGGGCGUUUAGUAUUUGGUCGUAGACCCGAAACCAGGUGAUCUACCCUUGGUCAGGUUGAAGUUCAGGUAACACUGAAUGGAGGACCGAACCGACUUACGUUGAAAAGUGAGCGGAUGAACUGAGGGUAGCGGAGAAAUUCCAAUCGAACCUGGAGAUAGCUGGUUCUCUCCGAAAUAGCUUUAGGGCUAGCCUCAAGUGAUGAUUAUUGGAGGUAGAGCACUGUUUGGACGAGGGGCCCCUCUCGGGUUACCGAAUUCAGACAAACUCCGAAUGCCAAUUAAUUUAACUUGGGAGUCAGAACAUGGGUGAUAAGGUCCGUGUUCGAAAGGGAAACAGCCCAGACCACCAGCUAAGGUCCCAAAAUAUAUGUUAAGUGGAAAAGGAUGUGGCGUUGCCCAGACAACUAGGAUGUUGGCUUAGAAGCAGCCAUCAUUUAAAGAGUGCGUAAUAGCUCACUAGUCGAGUGACACUGCGCCGAAAAUGUACCGGGGCUAAACAUAUUACCGAAGCUGUGGAUUGUCCUUUGGACAAUGGUAGGAGAGCGUUCUAAGGGCGUUGAAGCAUGAUCGUAAGGACAUGUGGAGCGCUUAGAAGUGAGAAUGCCGGUGUGAGUAGCGAAAGACGGGUGAGAAUCCCGUCCACCGAUUGACUAAGGUUUCCAGAGGAAGGCUCGUCCGCUCUGGGUUAGUCGGGUCCUAAGCUGAGGCCGACAGGCGUAGGCGAUGGAUAACAGGUUGAUAUUCCUGUACCACCUAUAAUCGUUUUAAUCGAUGGGGGGACGCAGUAGGAUAGGCGAAGCGUGCGAUUGGAUUGCACGUCUAAGCAGUAAGGCUGAGUAUUAGGCAAAUCCGGUACUCGUUAAGGCUGAGC
This 1466-nucleotide ribosomal RNA is filed under the name Staphylococcus aureus. RNAcentral describes it as "partial 23S ribosomal RNA". It matches the Rfam family "Bacterial large subunit ribosomal RNA", at positions 97 to 1561 of the family's 2925-position model. The record is from RNAcentral. Lineage: Bacteria; Bacillati; Bacillota; Bacilli; Caryophanales; Staphylococcaceae.